GAUCCUGGCUCAGAGCGAACGCUGGUGGCAGGCUUAACACAUGCAAGUCGAGCGGGCGUAGCAAUACGUCAGCGGCAGACGGGUGAGUAACGCGUGGGAACGUACCUUUUGGUUCGGAACAACUGAGGGAAACUUCAGCUAAUACCGGAUAAGCCCUAACGGGGAAGAUUUAUCGCCGAAAGAUCGGCCCGCGUCUGAUUAGCUAGUUGGUGAGGUAACGGCUCACCAAGGCGACGAUCAGUAGCUGGU
Molecule: ribosomal RNA, 249 nt
Filed under: uncultured bacterium
Lineage: Bacteria
Description: partial 16S ribosomal RNA
Rfam family: Bacterial small subunit ribosomal RNA
Source: RNAcentral